CCUACGGGGCGCACCAGUGGGGAAUAUUGCACAAUGGGCGCAAGCCUGAUGCAGCCAUGCCGCGUGUGUGAAGAAGGCCUUCGGGCUGUAAAGCACUUUCAGCGGGGAGGAAGGCGAUAAGGUUAAUAACCUUGUCGAUUGACGUUACCCGCAGAAGAAGCACCGGCUAACUCCGUGCCAGCAGCCGCGGUAAUACGGAGGGUGCAAGCGAUAAUCGGAAUUACUGGGCGUAAAGCGCACGCAGGCGGUCAGUCAAGUCGGAUGUGAAAUCCCCGGGCUCAACCUGGGAACUGCAUUCGAAACUGGCAGGCUAGAGUCUUGUAGAGGGGGGUAGAAUUCCAGGUGUAGCGGUGAAAUGCGUAGAGAUCUGGAGGAAUACCGGUGGCGAAGGCGGCCCCCUGGACAAAGACUGACGCUCAGGUGCGAAAGCGUGGGGAGCAAACAGGAUUAGAUACCCUCGUAGUC
This 465-nucleotide ribosomal RNA is filed under the name uncultured bacterium. RNAcentral describes it as "bacterial SSU rRNA". It matches the Rfam family "Bacterial small subunit ribosomal RNA", at positions 338 to 795 of the family's 1533-position model. The record is from RNAcentral.